GCCCAGAUAGCUCAGUUGGUAGAGCAACGGAUUGAAAAUCCGUGUGUCGGUGGUUCGAAUCCGCCUCUGGGCACCA
This 76-nucleotide transfer RNA is filed under the name Frigidibacter sp. ROC022. RNAcentral describes it as "tRNA-Phe". It matches the Rfam family "tRNA". From Rfam's summary of the family: Transfer RNA (tRNA) molecules are approximately 80 nucleotides in length. Their secondary structure includes four short double-helical elements and three loops (D, anti-codon, and T loops). Lineage: Bacteria; Pseudomonadati; Pseudomonadota; Alphaproteobacteria; Rhodobacterales; Paracoccaceae. The record is from RNAcentral.